Ribosomal RNA from Theropithecus gelada (gelada), 123 nucleotides. NCBI's taxonomy places the organism in Eukaryota, Metazoa, Chordata, Mammalia, Primates, Cercopithecidae. The record is from Ensembl.
GUCUAGGGCCACUUCACUCGGAAUGCUCUCGAUAUCUUCUGAUCUCGGAAGCUAAGCAGGGUCGGGCCUGGUUAGUCCUUGGGUAGGAGAAGUGUGGCUACUACAUAAUAGGUGCUCAAAAUG